This 484-nucleotide ribosomal RNA is filed under the name uncultured bacterium. Its description in RNAcentral is "partial 16S ribosomal RNA". It matches the Rfam family "Bacterial small subunit ribosomal RNA", at positions 28 to 523 of the family's 1533-position model. The record is from RNAcentral.
GAUGAACGCUGGCGGCGUGCUUAACACAUGCAAGUCGAACGGAAACAGGAUGAAGCCUAGCGAUUCCUGUUUUAGUGGCGGACGGGUGAGUAACGCGUGGGUAACCUGCCUUACACUGGGGGAUAACAGUUAGAAAUAGCUGCUAAUACCGCAUAAGCGCACAGGGCCGCAUGGCCUGGUGUGAAAAACUCCGGUGGUGUAAGAUGGACCCGCGUCUGAUUAGCUAGUUGGUGAGGUAACGGCCCACCAAGGCGAGGUGCAGUAGCCGGCCUGGGAGGGUGAACGGCCACAUUGGGACUGAGACACGGCCCAAACUCCUACGGGAGGCAGCAGUGGGGAAUAUUGCACAAUGGGGGAAACCCUGAUGCAGCGACGCCGCGUGAGUGAAGAAGUAUUUCGGUAUGUAAAGCUCUAUCAGCAAGGAAGAAAAUGACGGUACUUGACUAAGAAGCCCCGGCUAACUACGUGCCAGCCGCCGCCGUAA